This is a long non-coding RNA of Acanthopagrus latus (yellowfin seabream), 527 nucleotides long. RefSeq lists it as uncharacterized. NCBI's taxonomy places the organism in Eukaryota, Metazoa, Chordata, Actinopteri, Spariformes, Sparidae. The record is from RefSeq and is a predicted model, not a curated record. The transcript has 3 exons.
ACAGACAGGAGAGAGUAACAAUCAUUUUAUUUUUAAAAAUGACAGAACUUGCCUACAGCUGAGGUUACAGAGAGAACUGCAGGAUAAUAUGAGGCUGGAGCUGGAUGAACAACAAAAGAAGAAAAAUCGCUACAAAUAUAUAUUGUCAAUAUAUUACUCUGUACUAAAAGUUUAUUUUACUGUGAAAUGUCUUUGCGUGUGUGUGUGUGUGUGUGUGUGUAUGUGUGUGUGUGUGUCUGUGUAUUACCUGGACACCCCCCUUGCAGGCCCCCUCGAUCUGGUGAUAGUCGUCCUCGGAGCAGCGUGGACAGGCGCUGGCGCUCUCCCACAGGAAGUGAAACGUACAACCGUCACAUGUUCCUGCAGGACAGGUGCUGAACAAACACACAGGUCCACAGGCGACACACGCGUCCUGGCCGUAGGUGUGGCGCCCCGCCAGGUGCGUGUUGGGCGGGCACUCCUGGCAUCGGUUGGUGUCUCUGUCGAUGAAGAACCCGGCGGGGCAGGGAACGCAGGAGGAGCCGGCC